CCUACGGGUGGCUGCAGUAACGAAUCUUCCACAAUGCACGAAAGUGUGAUGGAGCGACGCCGCGUGUGGGACGAAGUUCUUCGGAAUGUAAACCACUGUCAGGGGUUAGAAAGUUCUGAUCAACCCCAGAGGAAGGCACGGCUAACUCUGUGCCAGCAGCCGCGGUAAGACAGAGGUGCCAAGCGUUAGGCGGAAUCACUGGGCUUAAAGCGUGUGUAGGCGGAGUGCUAAGUACCUUGUGAAAUCCCACGGCUCAACCGUGGAACUGCUCGGUAUACUGGUUCUCUUGGGCCACUUAGGGGCUACCGGAACAAAUGGUGGAGCGGUGAAAUGCGUAGAUAUCAUUUGGAACGCCAAUGGUGAAAACAGGUAGCUGGGAGUGUCGCCGACGCUGAGACACGAAAGCCAGGGGAGCGAACGGGAUUAGAUACCCCUGUAGU
This 440-nucleotide ribosomal RNA is filed under the name uncultured bacterium. Its description in RNAcentral is "bacterial SSU rRNA". It matches the Rfam family "Bacterial small subunit ribosomal RNA", at positions 338 to 794 of the family's 1533-position model. The record is from RNAcentral.